This is a non-coding RNA of Cajanus cajan (pigeon pea), 46 nucleotides long. The record is from Rfam. NCBI's taxonomy places the organism in Eukaryota, Viridiplantae, Streptophyta, Magnoliopsida, Fabales, Fabaceae.
CAAAAAGUUUUUUUAAAAACUAUAUCUUUAAUCAUGUAAAUGAAGU